RNAcentral lists this ribosomal RNA (468 nucleotides) under uncultured bacterium. RNAcentral describes it as "partial 16S ribosomal RNA". It matches the Rfam family "Bacterial small subunit ribosomal RNA", at positions 28 to 507 of the family's 1533-position model. The record is from RNAcentral.
GUCGAACGCUGGCGGCGUGCUUAACACAUGCAAGUCGAACGGAAGAACCCUGCUUUUGUGGGGUGCUCGAGUGGCGAACGGGUGUGUAACACGUGAAUAACCUGGCCUGGACUUUGGGAUAACUGCAGGAGACUGGGAAUAAUACAGGAUAGGAGAUCGUGCUGCAUGGUGGGGGUUGGACAGUUUGGGAGGAAGGGGAUGGACUGUGGGCUUAUUAGCUUGUUGGUGGGGGAGUCGCUUACCAAGUCAUUGACGGGUAGGCGGCAUGAGAGGUGGGACAGCCUCAAUGGUACUGAGAUACGGCCCAGACUGCUAUGUUAGGCAGUAGGGGAGAAUAUUGUACAGUGGGCGGAAGCGUGAUGCAGCAGUGUUGCGAUUGGGAUGACGGUCUUCGUGUUGGAAACCGCAGUCGGCUGUUACCAAGCGUUUUUGACGUUAAUAGGUAAAGAAGCACCGGCUAACUACGUG